AGACACUGACUUACCCGAACCCGAACGUUGUCGACCAAAGUGAUAAGCGGAAUGAUCUUGAGAUAACGAUCGAUCUCGUCCUGAGCCUUACGAAACUGGUAAACAAUGUUCCAUCCUGUGAGAUAACAAACCAAGUCCCACAUUGGAUAAUUAGACAAGGAGUGUCUAAUAUAUAAAGAGAUGUUCAACUCUAAUAGUACGAGGCCUUUUGGGAAGGAAAUCAAAAGUAAAACCAUGCGGGCCAGCAAAUUAGGCCCAAAGUGGACAAUAUCGUACUAAUAAGAUAAGAUAGAGUUGGACAUGGGAUUUCGCAAUCCCAACAAUUGGUAUCAGAGCGGUUGACGAGAAAUCUGCAAGAAAUGUGAGAUAACAAACCAAGUCCCACAUUGGAUAAUUAGACAAGGAGUGUCUAAUAUAUAAAGAGAUGUUCAACUCUAAUAGUACGAGGCCUUUUGUUGGGAUUGUGAAAUCCCAUGUCCAACUCUAUAUUAUCCGAUUAGUACGAUAUUGUCCACUUUGGGCCUAAUUAGCAAGCCCGCAUGGAUUUACUUUUGGUUUCCAUCCCAAAAGGCCUCGUACUAUUAGAGUUGGACAUCUCUUUAUAUAUUAGACACUCCUUGUCUAAUUAUCCAAUGUGGGACUUUGAUUGACAUCUCUCAUUCUCCCCCUCAAGCUAAGGACCACACACCUUGUGCCAUUUUUCCUCUAGCGAAUCAUCUCGGUGCCUUGUCGCAUCUUCGACAUUCGACACCCUUAGUCGAGAAUGUUCUUCCCACAAUUCCAGGAUCUUUUGACUAAUCUCUGCCGAACCUCCCUUUCCACCUUGAAGGGUCCCAUUCCUACUUCGAAAGAGGGCGUGGGUUCAAAUCCCACUUCUGACACCAAAUGUGAGAUAACAAACCAAGUCCCACAUUGGAUAAUUAGACAAGGAGUGUCUAAUAUAUAAAGAGAUGUUCAACUCUAAUAGUACGAGGCCUUUUGGGAAGGAAAUCAAAAGUAAAACCAUGCGGGCCAGCAAAUUAGGCCCAAAGUGGACAAUAUCGUACUAAUCGGAUAAUAUAGAGUUGGACAUGGGAUUUCACAAUCCUAACAAGUGGUAUCAGAGCAAUCCAGGUUUUGAUUGCGGGUGUAAAAGAGAUCACGGAGACUAAACAAAAUCACAAAGAAGAAAGAUAAAGGGACCUAUAUCUUCUUCAAGAAGAGUGUGAAUCGUUCAGCUCCAAGGUGAUCGUUUUCUUGUUUGAAUCUUCUGGUUGUUUACCUGUUGCAAAAGGUUAAACAAACUGGUCAGGCGGAGACAACACAGAGAAGAGUUGAGAUUGUAAGAUCAAAGGGUCACGUGGCUGGUUUAGGGAAGUGCGAGGUGUGAAUGCAAUAACAUUCAUCUCAAUGGAAGUUGAGCAAAGUUCAGUAUCGAUAGUCUUCUUAACCAGGUUGAAAGUUAAGCGGCAGGUUCCAUUCUUAGUAAUGGCGGUACAAAGUGUGUUUCAAAGUUGAUCUAUCGAAACAGGAAUUUGUUACUGCCUAUGUUUCAAGGGAUUUUAGAUCAAGGUGGAGAUGAUGUUAGAGCUUCAGGUUAAGCGGUGGUGUUUCGUGAUCGUUGGUGUUUCAGGAAACGUCAGAAGAAGUUGACGGAGAUGAUCAAGGAUUCAAGGAAGAUCAUCAAGGAGCUAUAUUUCAGAAGAUAUCUUGCAAGGCAUAGGAGACUGCAUGUUCUGAGUGAUUGGUGCUUAAGAAGUUAUCUCGCAAUGAAAUAUGCAAUAGGUUUUGUGUCGAUAGUCUUUCUAACAAGGGAGUUAGACGGCGUGUCCUGUUUUUCAUAAACAGCGGUACAAGACAUGUAUAUGUUCGCAUUGCUGGAGGGGAUGUCAAAGUUUUGUGACGUCUAGUAUUGAGUUGGAAACUAAUGGUGUAUUAGUCUAAGUCUAUCACUUUGAGAACAUGAGGAAGGCUCCAAGAUAGAAGAAGGCAAGAUUUGAAAUAAGAAGAAUGAACGUAUAAGUUAAGGCUGCAUGGAGAGUAAGAGACAAGUACGGAUAUACUUGUUUUCUUCUGGCAUCACAAGAAAGAGAAUUAAAAAAAAAAAAAAAAAAAUUCUCUAAGGAGGACAAGGAAAGAAAAAGUUCACGUGAGGAAGCAUAUUCAUGGUAAGUCCAAAGGCUGUUGUGAUGCAGUGACCAAAGCGUUGGGAUGUUAGCAAUACAAACAACGAGCAUUGCAGGGAAUGGGUUUUCAGCUAGGAGAGAUAUCAUGGGGUCUAGAAGUGAUAUCAAGGAGAGCUGUUACAAAGAGAAGUGUCAAGAACGUCACCGGAGCAGUUGGCGUGAGACAAGGUUAAACGGAAACUAGCAGUUUGAUCCAAGACUGUUAAAAAAAAAAAAAAAAAAAAAAAAAAAAAAAAAAAAAAGGGGUAAGGUUAAACAAGAAGAGCUGAAUGGAAAGUUGUGUCGAAAGUCUUCCCAACAAGACUGGUUAGGAAGCGUGUUCCAUCAUGGAUGAUGGCGGUACAAGAUGGAUUCAGAUUGUUGUUGCUUAACCAUAAUGCAACAAGUUUAAUCUCAAGGGUUGCAGAAUGGAUAUUGAGAUUGUUUUAAAGAUUGGAUCAGGGAAUGUUUCAGGUUGAAACAUGUAUGCUUCAAGGGUUUAUUGCAUAUGAUUCAAAGGAAAUUUGAUUCUAAAGAUCAGUGCACAUGAUAAGAAUCAAAAGGAUAUCAAAGGGAAUCAAGUUGCAAGGUUUGAUAAGGAAAAAUCAAAUAAGGUUUCUCAAAAUCUCAGGAGUAUGGUGAGCGGGAAGGUUACCUGCGACUAUUAUGAAGCUAUGGUAAAGAGAUAUUGGCUUCAGGUGGAGUAGCUACAAGAAAAGCAAAAGAAAUUGCUUCAGAUGGAGUAGCUGCAGGAAAUCAAAAGAAGCCAAGAUAGAGUUUCAUAAGAGUCUCAAAGAUUGGAAGAGACAAGACAUGAGAAGGGAAUCUGUUUCAAGUCAGAGAAAUUAAAAGAGUAAGGUGAUUACCUGAGAAUCUGAAGUCAAAGGAGUUAUUGUCUUUAGGUGAAGCUCACAGGAAAAGUGGCAAAGGGUUUCACAGGAGAUGUUGUGAGAAGAAAGAUGACAGCAAGUAUGAGAUCACUCAAGUUAAAGAGUGUUACCUGCUAUCACUAGAGCAGAGGAGGAGACGCAGAGCAUCGUCAAAGCAGCUGUGAAAGAAUUUCGAAAGAGAGAGUUCGAGAUUAAAUGAGAUUCACAUAAGGCUAGCAUCAAGGGUUGAUGCAGAGGUUCAGGGAAUUUGUAAUCUCAAAAGGUACAAGCUACAGUCAUUGGGAGAAGGAGAUUGACUAAAAGGGAAAGGAUACUUGAGAGUUGAGAUUACAGUGGGUAAAGACGUCAAAACAUGAUGCCGGAAGAUGCAAAGAAUCAAGUUGAAGUUGCAUCAGGUUAUGUUCACUAUCAAGGGAAUAAUCAAAGGGUUUAGGACAAAGUAAGUAUUACAUACUCUUAUUGGGGAAGACAAGUGGUCGAAAGUUGCAGUAGCUCUGGUGAAGUAGCUCCGGGUGGAGUAAUGGCAACAAGAACACCGGAAGGAGAUGCAAGGAGGAACGUGACGAGAAACAUCACUGUUGAUGGCUCCGGUCCCGUUAGAGAAAUUUCCGAAGGUCGUCACUGUCAAGUAAUUGAAAGUUCAGGAUUUUUCAACUUCUAAUAGAGGCAAAUCAAGAGCUCUUACAUGUAAAAUCAAGCAUCGGAGAAGGCUUACUGGAAACUGCAGAACUCCGGUGAGACUGAUCAGCUUGAUUCAGGCAAAACAAGAUUCACCAUUAAUGAAGAAUCACAAUCUUCAGUAUGGAUGGUGGGCCUUGUACGAUGAGGAACCGUCAACGGUUGCACAAUGAUGGUUAAAGUGUUACUGAAGAGCAAGAUGAAGUCUUUAGAAGUUUGAAUGGUUCGCGUCACUAACAAAGGUUCAAAGUUACAGUGGUGCGACGGUGUGAACGAGAGGGAAGCAAUCAAGUUAGAAUAAUUGGUAUUAGGGCCUAAGGUGGAGAUUGAAAGGAUAAUAGGCCCCAUUCCAAUUGCUUGCCCAAACCCACAGCCCAAUAACAAACCUGCGCACAAGAGGAAAGACGUUAGUGUCGGUUAAUCAAAUUGCUAAAGCAAUUAGGAAAAGGAAAACUAAAGUCGGUGGUUGGGGUUAUAAAUAGAGAAGGUGGUCUAGGCUUUACAAUCAUCCGAAACACAAGACCAAAGAGAGAGAGCUAAAGAGAGAGCUCAAGGUUAGAAGAAACUAGAGGCAAGAGACAUUGUUCGAGUCAUGUCGCUUCGGGAUAGAGUUUUUUUGAUCUCUCUUAUUCUUUGUUGUGUCUUCCCUUUGAGCGCUUAGAGCGUUUGUGUAAACCUUUGAUUAAUAGUGGAAGUUGUGGGAGACAGUUCCCACCCGAGAUGUACCGUGCUAGAGGCCGGGAACUCGGUGAUCAAAUUCUAUGUCUUAAGUAAUUAAGCAAUCUAACGAUCAAUAAUUCCUAACACAUCCCAUUGCUAACAAGUAGAGAUAACUCUUGUCUUGGCAGCUGUUGACAAGAAGGUAAGAUCUUCUAAGAGCGUCCUCAAGCCCUUCGAGAGGCUCCUGAACCUCGGGACGCGUCUUCUUCAUCUCGGAGAUUUUAAGCUGCUCGAGCAAGUUAC
This 4675-nucleotide long non-coding RNA is filed under the name Brassica napus (rape). RNAcentral describes it as "long non-coding RNA (BNAP_LNC007412)". Lineage: Eukaryota; Viridiplantae; Streptophyta; Magnoliopsida; Brassicales; Brassicaceae. The record is from RNAcentral.